AGACAGAGAGUGCAAACGUUGCUCGGAAUCACUGGGCGUAAAGCGGGUGUAGGCGGGUCGACAAGUCUGGUGUGAAAGCCCUGGGCUCAACCCAGGAAUUGCAUCGGAAACUGUCGGUCUUGAGUGCCGGAGAGGGAGGCGGAAUUCCCGGUGUAGAGGCGAAAUUCGUAGAUAUCGGGAGGAACACCAGAGGCGAAGGCGGCUUCCUGGACGGCUACUGACGCUCAGACCCGAAAGCGUGGGGAGCAAACAGGAUUAGAAACCCUAGUAGUCC
RNAcentral lists this ribosomal RNA (274 nucleotides) under uncultured bacterium. Its description in RNAcentral is "partial 16S ribosomal RNA". It matches the Rfam family "Bacterial small subunit ribosomal RNA", at positions 523 to 796 of the family's 1533-position model. The record is from RNAcentral.